Molecule: ribosomal RNA, 468 nt
Filed under: uncultured bacterium
Lineage: Bacteria
Description: partial 16S ribosomal RNA
Rfam family: Bacterial small subunit ribosomal RNA
Source: RNAcentral
GACGAACGCUGGCGGCGUGCUUAACACAUGCAAGUCGAACGGAAAGGCCCUGCUUUUGUGGGUUGCUCGUUUGGCGAACGGGUGAGUAACACGUGAGUAUCCCCCCCUUAACUUUGGGAUAACUUCAGGAAACUGGGGCGAUUACCCGAUAGAAGCUCCUGCUCCGUGUGGUGGGUUGGAAAGUUUCGGCGGUGGGGGAUGGUAUCGCGGCUUAUCAGCUGGUUGGUGAGGUAGUGGCUUUCCAGGGCUGUGACGGGUAGCCGGCCUGAGAGGGUGACCGGCCACAAUGGGACUGAGAUACGGACCAGAAUCCUACGGGAGGCAGCAGUGGGGAAUAUUGCGCAAUGGGCGGAAGCCUGAUGCGGCAACGCCGCGUGCGGGAUGCCGGCUUUUGGGUUGUAAACCGCUUUCGCCUGUGACGAAGCGUGAGUGACGGUAAUGGGUAAAGAAGCCACGGCUAACUACGUG